GACGAACGCUGGCGGCGUGCCUAAUACAUGCAAGUAGAACGCUGAAGGAGGAGCUUGCUUCUCUGGAUGAGUUGCGAACGGGUGAGUAACGCGUAGGUAACCUGCCUGGUAGCGGGGGAUAACUAUUGGAAACGAUAGCUAAUACCGCAUAAUAGUAGAUGUUGCAUGACAUUUGCUUAAAAGGUGCAAUUGCAUCACUACCAGAUGGACCUGCGUUGUAUUAGCUAGUUGGUGGGGUAACGGCUCAACAAGGCGACGAUACAUAGCCGACCUGGGAGGGUGAUCGGCCACACUGGGACUGGGACAACGCCCAGACUCCUACGGGAGGCAGCAGGAGGGGAACUUCGGCAAUGGACGGAAGUCUGACCGAGCAACGCCGCGGGAGUGAAGAAGGGUUUCGGAUCGUAAAGCUCUGUUGUAAGGGAAGAACGAGUGGUAGAGGGGAAAGUUCACACUGUGACGGUAUCUUACCAGAAAGCGACGGCUAACUACGUG
Molecule: ribosomal RNA, 495 nt
Filed under: uncultured bacterium
Lineage: Bacteria
Description: partial 16S ribosomal RNA
Rfam family: Bacterial small subunit ribosomal RNA
Source: RNAcentral